This 253-nucleotide ribosomal RNA is filed under the name uncultured bacterium. Its description in RNAcentral is "partial 16S ribosomal RNA". It matches the Rfam family "Bacterial small subunit ribosomal RNA", at positions 524 to 776 of the family's 1533-position model. The record is from RNAcentral.
UACAGAGGUCUCAAGCGUUGUCCGGAAUUAUUGGGCGUAAAGAGCUUGUAGGCGGUCCGUCACGUCCGCUGUGAAAACCCAGGGCUCAACCCUGGGCUUGCAGUGGAUACGGGCAGACUAGAGGUAGGUAGGGGAGAAUGGAAUUCCCGGUGUAGCGGUGAAAUGCGCAGAUAUCGGGAGGAACACCGGUGGCGAAGGCGGUUCUCUGGGCCAUAACUGACGCUGAGAAGCGAAAGCAUGGGGAGCGAACAGG